ACUCAAAAGGAGCAGGUGACUGAUUGCAGCAAGGUUGCUAGAUGACAAACGGUAGUCACAUCUCUGUAUCAUGGUUUGCCUUCUUGAAAAUGACAGAGAUAUUGGACAGACUUGAGAAUAGUAUUCAUCGCUAAGACCUUAAUAAAGUGCUGCGUCAGAAACUCACAACCGACUGAUCAGCAUGCUUGAUGUCCUCGGCUGUGUAGUCUUUCGUUAUGCCGCCUCCGGUAAAAUCCACCAUCUCAACCCUGAACACCUCACCAACUAGCAUCUCUGCUACCGGACGUAUCUCCGGUGCCACCGGUUGUGAAGAGGGGGAUUUUGUUCCUAUGGCUUUUUCUUUAAAUCUACCUGUACUACCAACCUUGGACUUAUUGAAUUCAUAGUUUCUUUUGUCAGAUAUGCAGAGUUCCUAGUAGCUGAAGAGAAAUUUGUGGGAGAUCAAACAGCCGUAGCUACCGAAAAGCCAAGAUCAAAAAGCUAUUUUUCAAGCUGUUUACUCGAAAACAGUACAGAGGUUCGUGAUCUAUCAGUGUAGGCCACACAUUCUGCUGUUACAGAGUGCUCCUUUUGAUCCGGAGCCCAUAUAUUGGUAUAUAUCUUUUGUGAUGUAUAUGCUUCUGUCCAUUUGAUUAUUUGGGGUACGGCGGGGCCCUGUCCCGUCAUAUGAUUAUGUUAUAGUUGUAGAGGCCUGUAGUCAUAUAUGUGGGUAAUGGGUCAUGUGUGUGUUCGCUUGUCUAGGUUCUGCGUCUUAAUGCGGUGCCGUUUGCUAUUAUGGCCAAGACGGCCUAAUUGUCUGUACACGUGUAUGUAUCUGGCGAUGUAUAUUCCGCCAAUCUAUCAGAUUUGGAUGCGGCCUAAAUGGCCUGUAUGUUUGUAUAUGUGCAUAUAUUCGGCGAUGUGUAUUCUGCCGCCU
Molecule: long non-coding RNA, 916 nt
Organism: Lycium barbarum (goji berry)
Lineage: Eukaryota; Viridiplantae; Streptophyta; Magnoliopsida; Solanales; Solanaceae
Exons: 3
Source: RefSeq, a predicted model, not a curated record